Molecule: transfer RNA, 76 nt
Filed under: Alphaproteobacteria bacterium
Lineage: Bacteria; Pseudomonadati; Pseudomonadota; Alphaproteobacteria
Description: tRNA-Arg
Rfam family: tRNA
About the family: Transfer RNA (tRNA) molecules are approximately 80 nucleotides in length. Their secondary structure includes four short double-helical elements and three loops (D, anti-codon, and T loops).
Source: RNAcentral
GCGCCCGUAGCUCAAUGGAUAGAGCGUCUGACUACGGAUCAGAAGGUUAGGGGUUCGAGUCCUCUCGGGCGCGCCA